GAUUCAUGACUGGGGUGAAGUCGUAACAAGGUAACCGUAGGGGAACCUGCGGUUGGAUCACCUCCUUACCUUAAAGAAGC
This 80-nucleotide ribosomal RNA is filed under the name Escherichia coli. Its description in RNAcentral is "partial 16S ribosomal RNA". The stretch from base 1 to 68 matches the Rfam family "Bacterial small subunit ribosomal RNA", at positions 1466 to 1533 of the family's 1533-position model. Lineage: Bacteria; Pseudomonadati; Pseudomonadota; Gammaproteobacteria; Enterobacterales; Enterobacteriaceae. RNAcentral also lists the same sequence under 2 other names. The record is from RNAcentral.